CCCCGUACACAAAAAUGCACAUAUUGUGAGCUCGAUGAGUAGGGCGGGACACGUGGUAUCCUGUCUGAAUAUGGGGGGACCAUCCUCCAAGGCUAAAUACUCCUGACUGACCGAUAGUGAACCAGUACCGUGAGGGAAAGGCGAAAAGAACCCCGGCGAGGGGAGUGAAAAAGAACCUGAAACCGUGUACGUACAAGCAGUGGGAGCACGCUUAGGCGUGUGACUGCGUACCUUUUGUAUAAUGGGUCAGCGACUUAUAUUCUGUAGCAAGGUUAACCGAAUAGGGGAGCCGAAGGGAAACCGAGUCUUAACUGGGCGUUAAGUUGCAGGGUAUAGACCCGAAACCCGGUGAUCUAGCCAUGGGCAGGUUGAAGGUUGGGUAACACUAACUGGAGGACCGAACCGACUAAUGUUGAAAAAUUAGCGGAUGACUUGUGGCUGGGGGUGAAAGGCCAAUCAAACCGGGAGAUAGCUGGUUCUCCCCGAAAGCUAUUUAGGUAGCGCCUCGUGAAUUCAUCUCCGGGGGUAGAGCACUGUUUCGGCAAGGGGGUCAUCCCGACUUACCAACCCGAUGCAAACUGCGAAUACCGGAGAAUGUUAUCACGGGAGACACACGGCGGGUGCUAACGUCCGUCGUGAAGAGGGAAACAACCCAGACCGCCAGCUAAGGUCCCAAAGUCAUGGUUAAGUGGGAAACGAUGUGGGAAGGCCCAGACAGCCAGGAUGUUGGCUUAGAAGCAGCCAUCAUUUAAAGAAAGCGUAAUAGCUCACUGGUCGAGUCGGCCUGCGCGGAAGAUGUAACGGGGCUAAACCAUG
RNAcentral lists this ribosomal RNA (816 nucleotides) under Escherichia coli. RNAcentral describes it as "partial 23S ribosomal RNA". It matches the Rfam family "Bacterial large subunit ribosomal RNA", at positions 371 to 1191 of the family's 2925-position model. The record is from RNAcentral. Lineage: Bacteria; Pseudomonadati; Pseudomonadota; Gammaproteobacteria; Enterobacterales; Enterobacteriaceae.